This 473-nucleotide ribosomal RNA is filed under the name uncultured bacterium. Its description in RNAcentral is "partial 16S ribosomal RNA". It matches the Rfam family "Bacterial small subunit ribosomal RNA", at positions 28 to 523 of the family's 1533-position model. The record is from RNAcentral.
GACGAACGCUGGCGGCGUGCUUAACACAUGCAAGUCGAACGGUAAGGCCCUUCGGGGUACACGAGUGGCGAACGGGUGAGUAACACGUGGGUGAUCUGCCCUGCACUUCGGGAUAAGCCUGGGAAACUGGGUCUAAUACCGGAUAGGACUCCGGACUGCAUGGUCUGGGGUGGAAAGCUUUUGCGGUGUGGGAUGGGCCCGCGGCCUAUCAGCUUGUUGGUGAGGUAAUGGCUCACCAAGGCGACGACGGGUAGCUGGUCUGAGAGGAUGAUCAGCCACAAUGGGACUGAGACACGGCCCAUACACCUACGGGUGGCAGCAGUUGGGAAUAUUGCGCAAUGGGCGAAAGCCUGACGCAGCGACGCCGCGUGAAGGAUGAAGGUUUUCGGAUCGUAAACUUCUUUUUUAGGGGACGAUUGUGACGGUACCCUAAGAAUAAGGGCCUGCUAACUACGUGCCAGCCGCCGCAGUAA